Long non-coding RNA from Lycium ferocissimum, 418 nucleotides. RefSeq lists it as uncharacterized. The record is from RefSeq and is a predicted model, not a curated record. NCBI's taxonomy places the organism in Eukaryota, Viridiplantae, Streptophyta, Magnoliopsida, Solanales, Solanaceae. The transcript is spliced from 3 exons.
UUUAUAUUAUCAGUAGCCACCAACAACAGUGAAAGCAGCAAAACAAAGGAAAGCACCUUUUUACUGAAGGAAAAUUACGGAAGAAGAAGAACAAGUAGUUGAAGAAGUCCUACAGAUUUGCGUGGUGACGAGUUUGGUAUUUCGACACGAGUACUAGACCGCAGGUGAUAUUGGUGAGGAUUACGGUAACUAGAGAGCACGAGUUGAAAGUUUCUGGUGAGCCCCGCACUUGUUCGCGUGGGCGAAGAGUCUAUUAUUUAUUAUGAUCUUUUCUUUUGAACUCUUAGAGUUGCUCCACAGUCAUUUGAUUUAUUCCAUGAGUAUUUUUUUAUUAUUAUAGACCAGUGACUAGUAUUAGGCGUUUUUCUCGUAUUUCAGAGAUGUUUUAGUAUUAUUGCGUUAAAAAUGGGUUGAUUGA